AUGUCUACUUUAUUAUUUUCUAAUUUUUUGAAGCCAUGAACAUGCUUGAGAUUUGAAUUGAUUUCCUCCAAUUGUGAUUUGAUAAGUUGUGAUUGCAAUUCAAUUAUCUAUUUUAUUCAUAACUAAUUCUUGUAUGUUUAUUAAGGAUGCAUACUUAGUUUUCAUGCAUGAAUUAGAUGCUAGAAUAUAAAUGAGUUUCACCUAAUCGUUACAAGUUUAUAUUCAUGAGUAGUGAAGGUUGUUUAUCACAAUCGCGUUAAUUGAAUUCUUGGCAAAUAUAUCAUGCAUUCAUAGUUAUAAUUGCCUCGUCAACACUUAUGAUUUUCAUUGAACGUAAUGAUCUCUCUGAUUGUAUCUCUAUUAUGCAUUCAUAUAGGGGACUUUUAGAGAAUGAUUUGGGUUGUUGCAUGCAUUCAUCCAACUCAAUGAGUAAAGGAAAAUCUGAGGGUUAAUUUGUGCAUCACGGUUAAUUUGGGGUGUUGAGCAUCAUAGUUAAUUGAAAAGCAAUUGGAAAUCGAUUCAUAUACAAGUGUGUCAUGUGUGAAGAACGGACCUCUAACUAAUCCAUCCAUCAUCUCAUUUCUUAAAUUCGUUUUACAAUCUGUCUAAUUUUAUAAGUUGUUUGUUUGUUUCAAAUUCAUCAAAACUAAAAUCCCCCUUUUACUUUCUUGUUUCAAAGUGUUAAAAUCUGUUUUGUUUGUGUUUUAGAGUGUUUUG
RNAcentral lists this small RNA (717 nucleotides) under Malus domestica (apple). RNAcentral describes it as "sRNA MD17G0079800". Lineage: Eukaryota; Viridiplantae; Streptophyta; Magnoliopsida; Rosales; Rosaceae. The record is from RNAcentral.